Molecule: long non-coding RNA, 387 nt
Organism: Homo sapiens (human)
Lineage: Eukaryota; Metazoa; Chordata; Mammalia; Primates; Hominidae
Source: Ensembl
ACUCCUCCCAGCAUGCCUGGCGAGGCGCGCACCGCGCUGGCCCUCUCUCCUGGGACACGCACCGCCUCCAAUCCUGGUUUAUGCUGGGAUUGUAGUCAGGCAGCCCUGUGAGCAAUUUUUCAGAUUAACUCUUAAGUACUCCACGGCUACAUGCUCCUGAAGCUGUUAUAGGCCCAGCCUCAGAUCUGUGCAGGGCGGAUGCACAAGAGCAGAAUCUCCGUGGACAUCUUUCUGGAGCAUCAAUUUUACUGCAAGAUUUUGAAGAAACACAUUUAAUUGAUUUUCAAGGAUUGCAGAAACCGUGAAUGAGGAGGGCUGACUCUAUCUAUGUUUGGAGUCUGUGAAUAUGAACUCUUCCUAUGUUGGUAAAUGGAAAUUUCUUUCACC